UACGGGGGGGGCAAGCGUUGUUCGGAAUUAUUGGGCGUAAAGCGUCCGCAGGUGGCUAUGUAAGUCUGCUGUUAAAGAGUGAGGCUCAACCUCAUAAGAGCAGUGGAAACUACAUAGCUAGAGUGCGUUCGGGGCAGAGGGAAUUCCUGGUGUAGCGGUGAAAUGCGUAGAUAUCAGGAAGAACACCGGUGGCGAAAGCGCUCUGCUAGGCCGCAACUGACACUGAGGGACGAAAGCUAGGGGAGCGAAUGGG
This 253-nucleotide ribosomal RNA is filed under the name uncultured bacterium. Its description in RNAcentral is "partial 16S ribosomal RNA". It matches the Rfam family "Bacterial small subunit ribosomal RNA", at positions 524 to 776 of the family's 1533-position model. The record is from RNAcentral.